RNAcentral lists this ribosomal RNA (465 nucleotides) under uncultured bacterium. Its description in RNAcentral is "bacterial SSU rRNA". It matches the Rfam family "Bacterial small subunit ribosomal RNA", at positions 329 to 792 of the family's 1533-position model. The record is from RNAcentral.
UCCCAGACUCCUACGGGAGGCAGCAGUGAGGAAUAUUGGUCAAUGGGCUUACGCCUGAACCAGCCAAGUCGCGUGAGGGAAGACUGCCCUAUGGGUUGUAAACCUCUUUUGUCAGGGAACAAAGGCGGGGACUAGUCCCCGGAUGAGGGUACCUGAAGAAAAAGCAUCGGCUAACUCCGUGCCAGCAGCCGCGGUAAUACGGAGGAUGCGAGCGUUAUCCGGAUUUAUUGGGUUUAAAGGGUGCGUAGGCGGACAGUCAAGUCAGCGGUAAAAAUGCGGUGCUCAACGCCGUACAGCCGUUGAAACUGGCAGUCUUGAGUGGGCGAGAAGUAUGCGGAAUGCGUGGUGUAGCGGUGAAAUGCAUAGAUAUCACGCAGAACUCCGAUUGCGAAGGCAGCAUACCGGCGCCCUACUGACGCUGAGGCACGAAAGCGUGGGUAUCGAACAGGAUUAGAUACCCCAGUA